ACUGGAAACGGUAGCUAAUACCGCAUAACGUCGCAAGACCAAAGUGGGGGACCUUCGGGCCUCAUGCCAUCAGAUGUGCCCAGAUGGGAUUAGCUAGUAGGUGGGGUAACGGCUCACCUAGGCGACGAUCCCUAGCUGGUCUGAGAGGAUGACCAGCCACACUGGAACUGAGACACGGUCCAGACUCCUACGGGAGGCAGCAGUGGGGAAUAUUGCACAAUGGGCGCAAGCCUGAUGCAGCCAUGCCGCGUGUGUGAAGAAGGCCUUCGGGUUGUAAAGCACUUUCAGCGGGGAGGAAGGCGAUAAGGUUAAUAACCUUGUCGAUUGACGUUACCCGCAGAAGAAGCACCGGCUAACUCCGUGCCAGCAGCCGCGGUAAUACGGAGGGUGCAAGCGUUAAUCGGAAUUACUGGGCGUAAAGCGCACGCAGGCGGUCUGUCAAGUCGGAUGUGAAAUCCCCGGGCUCAACCUGGGAACUGCAUUCGAAACUGGCAGGCUAGAGUCUUGUAGAGGGGGGUAGAAUUCCAGGUGUAGCGGUGAAAUGCGUAGAGAUCUGGAGGAAUACCGGUGGCGAAGGCGGCCCCCUGGACAAAGACUGACGCUCAGGUGCGAAAGCGUGGGGAGCAAACAGGAUUAGAUACCCUGGUAGUCCACGCCGUAAACGAUGUCGAUUUGGAGGUUGUGCCCUUGAGGCGUGGCUUCCGGAGCUAACGCGUUAAAUCGACCGCCUGGGGAGUACGGCCGCAAGGUUAAAACUCAAAUGAAUUGACGGGGGCCCGCACAAGCGGUGGAGCAUGUGGUUUAAUUCGAUGCAACGCGAAGAACCUUACCUGGUCUUGACAUCCACAGAACUUUCCAGAGAUGGAUUGGUGCCUUCGGGAACUGUGAGACAGGUGCUGCAUGGCUGUCGUCAGCUCGUGUUGUGAAAUGUUGGGUUAAGUCCCGCAACGAGCGCAACCCUUAUCCUUUGUUGCCAGCGGUCCGGCCGGGAACUCAAAGGAGACUGCCAGUGAUAAACUGGAGGAAGGUGGGGAUGACGUCAAGUCAUCAUGGCCCUUACGACCAGGGCUACACACGUGCUACAAUGGCAUAUACAAAGAGAAGCGACCUCGCGAGAGCAAGCGGACCUCAUAAAGUAUGUCGUAGUCCGGAUUGGAGUCUGCAACUCGACUCCAUGAAGUCGGAAUCGCUAGUAAUCGUAGAUCAGAAUGCUACGGUGAAUACGUUCCCGGGCCUUGUACACACCGCCCGUCACACCAUGGGAGUGGGUUGCAAAAGAAGUAGGUAGCUUAACCUUCGGGAGGGCGCUUACCACUUUGUGAUUCAUGACUGGGGUGAAGUCGUAACAAGGUAACCGUAGGGGAACCUGCGGUUGGAUCACCU
This 1383-nucleotide ribosomal RNA is filed under the name Klebsiella pneumoniae. RNAcentral's name for it is "bacterial SSU rRNA". It matches the Rfam family "Bacterial small subunit ribosomal RNA". The record is from RNAcentral. Lineage: Bacteria; Pseudomonadati; Pseudomonadota; Gammaproteobacteria; Enterobacterales; Enterobacteriaceae.